GUGAGGAAUAUUGCGCAAUGGAGGCAACUCUGACGCAGCCAUGCCGCGUGCAGGAAGAAGGCGCUACGCGUUGUAAACUGCUUUUAACCGGGAAGAAACCCCAGGACGUGUCCUGGGUUGACGGUACCGGAGGAAUAAGCACCGGCUAACUUCGUGCCAGCAGCCGCGGUAAUACGAAGGGUGCAAGCGUUAUCCGGAUUCAUUGGGUUUAAAGGGUGCGUAGGCGGAGCGUUAAGUCAGUGGUGAAAUCCUGCAGCUUAACUGUAGACUUGCCAUUGAUACUGGAGCUCUUGAGUGCGCUUGAAGUGGGCGGAAUGUGCCGUGUAGCGGUGAAAUGCUUAGAUAUGGCACAGAACACCAAUUGCGAAGGCAGCUCACUAAGGCGAUACUGACGCUGAGGCACGAAAGCGUGGGGAUCGAACAGGAUUAGAUACCCGUGUAGUCC
RNAcentral lists this ribosomal RNA (445 nucleotides) under uncultured bacterium. RNAcentral's name for it is "partial 16S ribosomal RNA". It matches the Rfam family "Bacterial small subunit ribosomal RNA", at positions 354 to 796 of the family's 1533-position model. The record is from RNAcentral.